AUUGAACGCUGGCGGAAUGCUUUACACAUGCAAGUCGAACGGCAGCACGGGGGCAACCCUGGUGGCGGGUGGCGAACGGGUGAGUAAUACAUCGGAACGUGCCCGGUCGUGGGGGAUAACGUAGCGAAAGUUACGCUAAUACCGCAUACGAUCUUAGGAUGAAAGCGGGGGACCUUCGGGCCUCGCGCGCUCGGAGCGGCCGAUGACCGAUUAGGUAGUUGGUGGGGUAAAGGCCUACCAAGCCGACGAUCUGUAGCUGGUCUGAGAGGACGACCAGCCACACUGGGACUGAGACACGGCCCAGACUCCUACGGGAGGCAGCAGUGGGGAAUUUUGGACAAUGGGCGCAAGCCUGAUCCAGCCAUUCCGCGUGCAGGACGAAGGCCUUCGGGUUGUAAACUGCUUUUGUAGGGAACGAAAAGGCUCUGGCUAAUACCUGGGGCUCAUGACGGUACCGUAAGAAUAAGCACCGGCUAACUACGUG
This 484-nucleotide ribosomal RNA is filed under the name uncultured bacterium. RNAcentral's name for it is "partial 16S ribosomal RNA". It matches the Rfam family "Bacterial small subunit ribosomal RNA", at positions 30 to 507 of the family's 1533-position model. The record is from RNAcentral.